RNAcentral lists this ribosomal RNA (559 nucleotides) under fungal sp. Its description in RNAcentral is "eukaryotic LSU rRNA". The stretch from base 179 to 332 matches the Rfam family "5.8S ribosomal RNA". The record is from RNAcentral. Lineage: Eukaryota; Fungi.
UCCGUAGGUGAACCUGCGGAGGGAUCAUUACCGAGUUUACAACUCCCAAACCCCUGUGAACAUACCAAUUGUUGCCUCGGCGGAUCAGCCCGCUCCCGGUAAAACGGGACGGCCCGCCAGAGGACCCCUAAACUCUGUUUCUAUAUGUAACUUCUGAGUAAAACCAUAAAUAAAUCAAAACUUUCAACAACGGAUCUCUUGGUUCUGGCAUCGAUGAAGAACGCAGCAAAAUGCGAUAAGUAAUGUGAAUUGCAGAAUUCAGUGAAUCAUCGAAUCUUUGAACGCACAUUGCGCCCGCCAGUAUUCUGGCGGGCAUGCCUGUUCGAGCGUCAUUUCAACCCUCAAGCCCUCGGGUUUGGUGUUGGGGAUCGGCGAGCCCUUGCGGCAAGCCGGCCCCGAAAUCUAGUGGCGGUCUCGCUGCAGCUUCCAUUGCGUAGUAGUAAAACCCUCGCAACUGGUACGCGGCGCGGCCAAGCCGUUAAACCCCCAACUUCUGAAUGUUGACCUCGGAUCAGGUAGGAAUACCCGCUGAACUUAAGCAUAUCAAUAAGCGGAGGAA